RNAcentral lists this ribosomal RNA (571 nucleotides) under Enterococcus faecalis. RNAcentral describes it as "bacterial SSU rRNA". It matches the Rfam family "Bacterial small subunit ribosomal RNA", at positions 142 to 699 of the family's 1533-position model. Lineage: Bacteria; Bacillati; Bacillota; Bacilli; Lactobacillales; Enterococcaceae. The record is from RNAcentral.
GAUAACACUUGGAAACAGGUGCUAAUACCGCAUAACAGUUUAUGCCGCAUGGCAUAAGAGUGAAAGGCGCUUUCGGGUGUCGCUGAUGGAUGGACCCGCGGUGCAUUAGCUAGUUGGUGAGGUAACGGCUCACCAAGGCCACGAUGCAUAGCCGACCUGAGAGGGUGAUCGGCCACACUGGGACUGAGACACGGCCCAGACUCCUACGGGAGGCAGCAGUAGGGAAUCUUCGGCAAUGGACGAAAGUCUGACCGAGCAACGCCGCGUGAGUGAAGAAGGUUUUCGGAUCGUAAAACUCUGUUGUUAGAGAAGAACAAGGACGUUAGUAACUGAACGUCCCCUGACGGUAUCUAACCAGAAAGCCACGGCUAACUACGUGCCAGCAGCCGCGGUAAUACGUAGGUGGCAAGCGUUGUCCGGAUUUAUUGGGCGUAAAGCGAGCGCAGGCGGUUUCUUAAGUCUGAUGUGAAAGCCCCCGGCUCAACCGGGGAGGGUCAUUGGAAACUGGGAGACUUGAGUGCAGAAGAGGAGAGUGGAAUUCCAUGUGUAGCGGUGAAAUGCGUAGAUAUAU